This 4609-nucleotide long non-coding RNA is filed under the name Medicago truncatula (barrel medic). RNAcentral describes it as "long non-coding RNA (MTRU_LNC005178)". Lineage: Eukaryota; Viridiplantae; Streptophyta; Magnoliopsida; Fabales; Fabaceae. The record is from RNAcentral.
ACAAGGUUUUGAGCUUGACCAUUAAUCUUAAAACUCCAACCAAGAAUAUAAUGAGAAGUUAGAAAUGAACCAGUAGCUGAUGAAAAUCCAACAUACAUACUAUUGUUAAGAAUUGGAGAAAGAUCUUUGGUCAAUGAUAACAAAGGUUGUUUUGGUUUAACAACAUUAAUUGGAGCUAAAGUAACAUCAAUCUUUUUCUUUUCACCAUCAUAUUCAAUCCAUACCUGCAUAGGAUAGCCACUGAUAAGGCUUAUAUUCUUGAAUUGACCAUUACCAUCAUAAUAUCCUGCAGGAGUUGAAUUAGCUGAUUUCAAAUCAUUGAUAUCAAUACCAACAUGGUUAUCAUUGAUAUCAUCAAACUCACGAUUUUCAAUAGUAUCAAGUUCAACACCAAAAACGUGGUUGCUAGGAUUUCCAUUGUUGGAAUCGUCAAAGAGACCAAGGUAUGAACCUUGGAGUGAAUUUGGUAGCCCUUUUGUAGGAGAAAGAACAAAAACAAUUCCAUGGCCACUAUAAGUUGGACCUUGAUGUCUUAUGGCAAAUACAAAAGUAGUUGAGAAUGAAGAAACACUUCCAUUGGAAGUGUUCUUCAAAACUAUAGGGUUUGGAUAGAAAGCAUGUGCUUUUUCUUGUUUGGUGUCAUUGGUGAGUCUUAGUAAGCCAUUGGAGGUUAAAUUAGCAAUACCAUCAAGAUACAAAUGAGAUGAUUGGAAAUCAUUAUAGAUGAAACUUUUGUCUUCACUUGGUACCAAUGUAACAAGAAAAAACAACAUAAACACAAGCCUGAGGAACAUGAUUAUAGUUUGUGAAUAAUAAUGCUUAUACAGUUCUGUUCAGUGUUUAUUAUUUAUUAUUUAUUAUGUAUAAGAUUUUGUCCUAGGUGAAGAAAAAAUUGCAAGUCUAAUUUGGGUCCUACUAAGAAAUGUCUUGGAACCUAACUUAGCUAUGAAUUAUCACCAAAAGAAACAUCAAAUGGUUACUAAAAUCGCGUAUCUCAUUUGGGUCCUACUAAGAAAUGUCUCAUUUAGUUUAGUAAAAAUGAACUCAUUUGGGACCAUUUGAAUAGUUGUGCACAUUUGAACUACCAAUUUUUUUCCCAACUGCACAUUUUCAAUGUUUACGUAUUGAGUGUUUGAUGCUAAAUUGAAUAUGUGAAAUUAAAACAUCAAUGUCGUCUAAUUUCUUCAAAUAAGCAUAGUUUUUUUUUUUAAGUUCACACUUGAAUGUGUGGAUUUGACCGAUUACUAUUGAUUAUCUAUGAUUUGCUUGGCUGCUAAGAAAAUGAUGAAUGAAUAAGUGGUGGAGGAUGCAUAAAGAUACCGUUGGUUUUGAAUCAAAAUUUCAUAUUUUUCUUCAUGGAAAAAUCGUAGGCCAAUUAAAGUCAGCCUGUUUCAUUGGUCAUAUGUGCUGGCAAGUUGCAGGGAGAUGGAGGUAAAUCACGAGGCAAUUUACUCAGGAUUGACAACUAUAAAAUUCAGUUUUUGACAUAUUUGUCGAGCAAUCUUUCUACUCUAAAUCAGAGAAUUUUUAAGGAAUUUAGAGGUUCAGAGUAACCUUAAAAAGUAACUUAAUAACAUAACUUUGUUCUCCAAAAACUUUACUGUCUUUUCAAUUUUCUGGUUCUUCUUCAUUUCUUGUCCACCACUUUAUCAUAGCUUCUGUUUUUCACAUAUGCCCACACGACCUAAAAUGAGCUUACCAUUUUUUCUACAAUGGAGCCAUCUCAACUUUUUCUCUGCUGUUUAUUUAAUUUAUUUAAUUCAGGGUUAAAAACCAUGUAAUGGACUAAUUUUAAAACCUAACUUUCUUUUUUAGGUGCUGCACUGUCUGUAAAGAGAAGUGACAUAUUGGCUCUUGCUAUAGGUAUGAUGGACUCUUUGAUCCUCUACAAUCAAUGAUUGGUUUAUUGUGUCAUUCACGGGUGAUAAUUCUGGAUGUCACAAUGAAUGUUGGGAUAAAAUGGUUUGUUUAAAUCGAGUAAAACUUCUGUUUCAUGAAUGGUGUGUUCAUCAACUGGUAACAAUUAUAGCAACUAUAGAAGAAAGGCUUAAGUGGGGUGUGGGUUUUCCUACUAUAGGUGUUUCAAUUGUUUUACAUGCACUGAGGCAUUCUUUAGAAUCAAGUGCAUUUCAGAUAUGGCUCAAUAAAUGUUAUAUUUGAUUUAGACUGAAUCACCAUUUAAGUCUAUAAAUUACAGGGGUUGAAAUUUUUAAUGUUAGUCCUUUUGGGUCGGUCAAUAUAGUCCUUGAAAUUGUCUUGAAGAUACUAAAGUGAUUGAAAAUUUUCAAUUUCAAUGAUCAUUUUAGAAUAUGUUAAUUUUAGGGGCUAGAUUGCAUGAUGUCGUGACCAAUACUAUUAUAAGACUGAAAUAGGUUAUUCGCUCUUUCGUUUUAUGUUAUUUGAUGUGUCUAUGCUAGGUGGUGCUUACCUAAAGAUUCUUGAUGGCUACAUUAGUUCAUAUGUUGUUGCUAUCUGAUGAAUGGAAAAUUUAAAUUUGUUGGUCGAGGGUUGAGUACCUCGAUUGGUUUGAGCUAAGGGUUAAGAAGUUGGAGGUCGUCUGUUCAAAUUUUGGUAAUGUCGACAUUGUCCAUGACAGUGAUUAUAAUUAUGAUGUGUUGUUCAAUUUUAAUAUUUAAGGCUCAUUCUACGCAUGCUGAUAACUUAAUCCUGCCAAGCCCUGUAUAUUAACAUUGAUUAGUUGCUCAAUAUUACAGGUGGAUAUCUAAGCUGUAUUUCGAUGAUAUUCUAGAAAAUACAGAAGCAAAUAUAUGUCUUGUUAUCGAUGCUCGUAUUUGGAGGAUUCUAUAAAUUGAGCCAUCUUCUGCUGCUAGUUCAGGUUGAAGUUGAACUAGUGAUAAAUGAUAAAAAUAAACUAAUGUUGUGCAAAAUUAGUUCAGUGUUGCUUGUAGCUAAAAUGUUAUGCUGCCAUGCUGGCUUAUACUAUGGUAUCCAUUGUAAUAACAUUUCUAAGGCAUAUAAUGACAUGUAACUGGUACUAUUUUGGAUACAUAAAAACACGAUUUCAUGUAUUUGUUACACUAUUAACUCAAAUAUGAUUUUACAUUUGAUUUAACAAACUCUCCUUAAUCCAUUUUACCAAAAUCUAACGACCACCAGAGAGAAGUGAAUCAGCAAUAGACACAGAGGUGUGUGACAUUGUGUUGCCCAUAGAAGAAGGAUAAGACAAAGGAAAGUCCUCAAAAAAUUCUUGGUACCCAAAAGUUAAACCAGAAGAAGAUAAACUAAGCAAAGACAAAUCUGGUAAAGGUAUAUCCCUUUCCAAAUACUGUACAACUUGUCUCAUACCUGGUCUAGCCAAAGGUUCUGAAUGUGAACACAACAAACCAAGUUUCAACACCAAUUCAACCUCUUCAGACACAUAGUUUGUCCCCAAAUUUACAUCUUUUGCCUCAAGAAUAUUACCCCUUUUCCAACACUCAAAGACACAAUCAACCAAAAUUACGCAUUCAUUUUCCGCUACAUUUUCAAUAGGCCUUCUACCACAAGCAACCUCGAGAAGAAAUGCACCAAAAGAAAACACAUCAGAAAAUUUAGUAGCCUUACCUGUUCUAGUAUGUUCAGGUGCUAGAUACCCUACAGUUCCAACCAAAUGAGUUGUGUGAGGAUCAGCACCAUGAUCAUACAACCUUGCAAGACCAAAAUCUCCUAAUCUACCAUUCAAUUCACCAUCUAAUAACACAUUGCUAGCCUUUAUGUCUCUAUGAAUCACAACCUGCUCCCAUUCUUCGUGUAGAUAAAACAAACCCAAAGCAACACCUUUGAUGAUUCGAAAUCUUUGACUCCAAUUCAAGGUCACUCUUGGUUGGUUGUAUAGAUAAUUGUCUAGACUUCCAUUAGGCAUGUAAUCAUAGACCAGAAGCAACUCACCUUUUCGCCUGCAAUAGCCGAGAAGUGGAACAAGAUUCCUAUGACGAAGACGACCGAUACUAACAAUUUCCGACACGAAUUCCCUCAUCCCUUGUCUUGAUUCAUGUGAAACCCUCUUCACUGCAACCUCAAGUUUGGAACCUGGCAUCACACCUUUGUAGACUCUACCAAAUCCACCAACUCCUAAUAGACCCUUUUCCUUGAAACCCUUUGUGGCAAAGUACAAAUCUUUGAACUUAAACCUAUGAGGGCCAUAUUCAUGCUCCCAAUCUUCAAGCAACUCAGCAAACUUCUUUCUCCUUUUGAUAUAAUAAAUAACCCCUAAGGUUAUCAUGAAAACCAAACUUAGCAAAACCAAAGGCAAUCCAACAGUUAAAAACAUGGACUCUUUUUUCUCACCAAAUCUUGGUAGCUUAGGAAGUUCAGAGAUUACAAGGUUUUCAGCUUGACCAUUAACCUUAAAACUCCAACCAAGAAUAUAAUGAGAAGUGAAAACUGAACCAGUAGCUGAUGAAAAUCCAACAUACAUACUAUUGUUUAAAAUUGGAGAAAGAUCUCUGGUCAAUGACAACAAAGGUUGUUUUGGUUUAACAACAUUAAUUGGAGCUAAAGUAACAUCAAUCUUUUUCUUUUCACCAUCAUAUUCAAUCCAUACCUGCAUAGGAUUGCCACUGAAAAGGGUCAAAUUCUUGAGUUGACCAUUAACAUCAUAAUAUCCUGC